GAAGAUACCAGCUGGCUGCAACUGUUUAAUAAAAACACAGCACUGUGCAAACACGAAAGUGGACGUAUACGGUGUGACGCCUGCCCGGUGCCGGAAGGUUAAUUGAUGGGGUCAGCCGCAAGGCGAAGCUCUUGAUCGAAGCCCCGGUAAACGGCGGCCGUAACUAUAACGGUCCUAAGGUAGCGAAAUUCCUUGUCGGGUAAGUUCCGACCUGCACGAAUGGCGUAAUGAUGGCCAGGCUGUCUCCACCCGAGACUCAGUGAAAUUGAACUCGCUGUGAAGAUGCAGUGUACCCGCGGCAAGACGGAAAGACCCCGUGAACCUUUACUAUAGCUUGACACUGAACCUUGAGCCUUGAUGUGUAGGAUAGGUGGGAGGCUUUGAAGCGUGGACGCCAGUCUGCGUGGAGCCAACCUUGAAAUACCACCCUUUAAUGUUUGAUGUUCUAACGUGGACCCGUAAUCCGGGUUGCGGACAGUGUCUGGUGGGUAGUUUGACUGGGGCGGUCUCCUCCCAAAGCGUAACGGAGGAGCACGAAGGUUAGCUAAUCCUGGUCGGACAUCAGGAGGUUAGUGCAAAGGCAUAAGCUAGCUUGACUGCGAGAGUGACAGCUCGAGCAGGUGCGAAAGCAGGUCUUAGUGAUCCGGUGGUUCUGAAUGGAAGGGCCAUCGCUCAACGGAUAAAAGGUACUCCGGGGAUAACAGGCUGAUACCGCCCAAGAGUUCAUAUCGACGGCGGUGUUUGGCACCUCGAUGUCGGCUCAUCACAUCCUGGGGCUGAAGUAGGUCCCAAGGGUAUGGCUGUUCGCCAUUUAAAGUGGUACGCGAGCUGGGUUUAGAACGUCGUGAGACAGUUCGGUCCCUAUCUGCCGUGGGCGUUGGAAGAUUGAGAGGGGUUGCUCCUAGUACGAGAGGACCGGAGUGAACGCACCACUGGUGUACGGGUUGUGAUGCCAAUUGCAUUGCCCGGUAGCUAAGUGCGGAAGAGAUAACCGCUGAAAGCAUCUAAGCGGGAAACUUGCCUCGAGAUGAGUCUUCCCUGGGCACUAGAUGCCCCUGAAGGGCCGUUGAAGACGACGACGUAGAUAGGCUGGGUGUGUAAGCGUAGCGAUACGUUGAGCUAACCAGUACUAAUGACCCGAGAGGCUUAACCUUACAACACCGAAGGUGUUU
RNAcentral lists this ribosomal RNA (1172 nucleotides) under Pectobacterium odoriferum. Its description in RNAcentral is "bacterial LSU rRNA". It matches the Rfam family "Bacterial large subunit ribosomal RNA", at positions 1779 to 2925 of the family's 2925-position model. The record is from RNAcentral. Lineage: Bacteria; Pseudomonadati; Pseudomonadota; Gammaproteobacteria; Enterobacterales; Pectobacteriaceae.